This is a non-coding RNA of Eublepharis macularius, 72 nucleotides long. Lineage: Eukaryota; Metazoa; Chordata; Lepidosauria; Squamata; Eublepharidae. The record is from the annotation of a RefSeq genome assembly.
GGGGCUGUGGCUCAGUGGUAGAGCAUCUGCUUUAGAUGCAGAAGGUCCAGAGUUCAAUUCCUGGCAUCUCCA